Molecule: transfer RNA, 73 nt
Filed under: Hormoscilla sp. SP12CHS1
Lineage: Bacteria; Bacillati; Cyanobacteriota; Cyanophyceae; Gomontiellales; Gomontiellaceae
Also listed under: 1 other name
Description: tRNA-Arg
Rfam family: tRNA
About the family: Transfer RNA (tRNA) molecules are approximately 80 nucleotides in length. Their secondary structure includes four short double-helical elements and three loops (D, anti-codon, and T loops).
Source: RNAcentral
GCCCCCAUAGCUCAGCGAACAGAGCAGCGCCCUUCUAAGGCGAUGGCCCCAGGUUUGAAUCCUGGUGGGGGUG